This 253-nucleotide ribosomal RNA is filed under the name uncultured bacterium. RNAcentral's name for it is "partial 16S ribosomal RNA". It matches the Rfam family "Bacterial small subunit ribosomal RNA", at positions 524 to 776 of the family's 1533-position model. The record is from RNAcentral.
UACGGAGGAGGCAAGCGUUAUCCGGAAUUAUUGGGCGUAAAGCGUCCGCAGGCGGCUCAUUAAGUCUGUUGUCAAAGGUCACAGCUCAACUGUGGAUCGGCAAUGGAAACUGGUGAGCUAGAGUGUGGUAGGGGUAGAGGGAAUUCCCGGCGUAGCGGUGAAAUGCGUAGAUAUCGGGAAGAACACCAGUGGCGAAGGCGCUCUACUGGGCCACAACUGACGCUGGGGGACGAAAGCUAGGGGAGCGAAAGGG